CCUUUUAAGGGAUCUUACGUGAG
RNAcentral lists this non-coding RNA (23 nucleotides) under Cricetulus griseus (Chinese hamster). Lineage: Eukaryota; Metazoa; Chordata; Mammalia; Rodentia; Cricetidae. The record is from RNAcentral.